UCAUCAAACGGGCCAUAUUCUCUCCUUGUAUAAUUAUAAAACCGUCUGAAGCUAGGCUUAAACCUAAACGACCGCAUGUAUCUUCCUCGUAUUGUCUCUGAACUUCGCCAGCUGAGCCGCUGCCGGUAAACGUCACCGCCUCCAAACCUCCCCAAAUUAGCACCACGAAAUCCCCAGGUCAUCCUCUUCCCAUUCCCGCGUUUAGCUUCCCUCAAACCUCACCUGAAUUCCUCGAAUCUUCAUCAAGAGAUUUUCUGGCCAUGAUGCCGGGUAACUCAAUCACCCCCAAAAUAAUACCAUAGGACCGCCUUGGUCUCCUCUACAAAACCCCUAGAACCAUUGGUCUCGAAUAUAGCCUGAGCGGCUUGAAUUUAAGAUUGAAGAUUUUCCGGCGAAUUUGGAUUUCAUUGAAUUUGCACAAAUUGGUGCCAUGAGGUUUUCCUCAUCUUCUUCUCAAGGAUUUGGUUUUAUAGAAGAUCAAUUGAAGGUCGAGGUUAGACAGUCGAGUGGCCAUUGAAGUCAUGUGUCAUUUCCCUUUCUUUGUUUUCUGUUAUAUGAGUGUUCUGUUGUUUAAGAUCUUGCAUGAGUCCCUUUUAAUGGUUGCUUGUUUCGGCAUUAAUUGGAGUUUUCUCUAGAUUAAUAUGAUUUUUAUUGAUUGAUGUUUUCUUUUGAUAGUUAGUUCAAUUAGUCUAGUAAUUAAGUGAUUAUUUUGAUCGAAAUCAAUUCAAGUCCUGGUGUAGUUCUUAGAGGAUAAACAGUGGUAAGACUGUUGAUAAUAUUGGUAAGUUGUUAGGUUAUCCAAUUCUAAUUAAUUUGGGUCAUUGAAAGGUUUGGGUUAGCAGAGAUGGUAAAAUUCAGGUUGAGGUAGGGCAUUCUAGGCAUUCUUGAAUUAGGUAUCAAUACUAGAAUUCCUUGGAACCUUCUAGAAAAGGGUGUACUUAGAAUUUGAAGUAAGUUUGAAGUAAUUCCUUGCACAACAAGUUAAAAAUAAAGGGGCUAAAACACUAAAAAGGGAGGGACCUAAGAGGCAAUCGUGAAAAUAUCAUUCAACUAAAAAUAGGCAUUGCAUUGCCUUGGGGAGGGGGUUCCACUUGCAGCCAGAUUCAGCUCCCAAAAAUUCUGGCCAUAAUAAAGUUCAGAUCUAAAGUAGCCUUCCGGUUCAUUUUUUUAAAAGAAAAAACCAAAACUACAAAGCCAAAUUAGAAAAAAACAACAAAAAAAGAAAAACAAAAAAUGUUACUAUUCCAUUAGGCAUUGAGUGAUUUCCAAUUCUCUGCUUUCAAUUUACCACCUCCUGGUUCAGAUUUUGGUUGUCGUGACUUAGUUGUUUCCUGGAUCCACUUUUGUUGGGUUUUGAGUUCAUUUGAUUCAGUUUGGCCCUUCAGUUGAUGCAGUGGUUGAGUAGUGUGCUGUUUAGUUUUUGGUGAAGUUGUUUUGUGUUAAAUCACACUUGUUUGGUUGUUGUUGUUUGAGAUUGGUUUCUGGUGUUUAAUUCUACUUGUGCUGCUAAAUAUUGUUCUUGGAUACUGCUGUGUUUCACCUGCUUCUGCUAACUCCUUCUCCUUUCGCUGUAAUUCGAAUACCAGGUACAUAUCCUGAAGUUUGACACCAUGUAUCUUCAUUUCACUGGAAAUAUGAAUCAAGAUUGAAGUGAACUACCUGCUAUGGAGUUGUAGUUUAAGUGUGAUAUGAUUUUAGCGUUAAUAUUUAAUAUAUGUAGUUCAUCUGUUUCAUUAUGACUAUGUCUUUGGACUAAAACUGGUGAUACAUGUGUGGUAGUUGAGUCAUAUAUCUGAACUGAUGCUCAUUGGGUAGAUUACCCGUUUAGAUAGGUUUGGUACAUACGUUUGAUAAUUGAACCCUAUAGAUUUGAGUUAUUGAUACUGUUAAAUAUGGGUGUGCAAAUUCGAAUGUCUCAUGCUAUUUGUAUUCAAAAUUGAGCUCAAAAUAUUUAGUUUGGUAUGGUCAGGUACCAGUUUAGGUCUGGUUCUACGUGCUUUUAGCUUAAUAUGUGAUUUUUUUAAUAAAAAAAGGGUGAUCCAAGUUUCUGUGCUAAUUUGAAAUCAUAUUUCUGCCUAAAAUUGAGAUUAGGACUGUUGAGUCCUUGGAAAAAAUAUUAAUUGCCUAACCAAUCAAGGUGGUGGGGUAUUUGGAGUUGC
This 2159-nucleotide long non-coding RNA is filed under the name Nicotiana benthamiana. RNAcentral describes it as "long non-coding RNA (NBEN_LNC008239)". The record is from RNAcentral. Lineage: Eukaryota; Viridiplantae; Streptophyta; Magnoliopsida; Solanales; Solanaceae.